RNAcentral lists this ribosomal RNA (517 nucleotides) under uncultured Paludibacter sp. RNAcentral describes it as "bacterial SSU rRNA". It matches the Rfam family "Bacterial small subunit ribosomal RNA", at positions 755 to 1270 of the family's 1533-position model. Lineage: Bacteria; Pseudomonadati; Bacteroidota; Bacteroidia; Bacteroidales; Paludibacteraceae. The record is from RNAcentral.
GAAAGCGUGGGGAUCGAACAGGAUUAGAUACCCUGGUAGUCCACGCCGUAAACGAUGAAUGCUAGUUGUUCGGGUCAAUUGAGACCUGAGUAACCAAGGGAAACCGAUAAGCAUUCCACCUGGGGAGUACGGUCGCAAGACUGAAACUCAAAGGAAUUGACGGGGGCCCGCACAAGCGGAGGAACAUGUGGUUUAAUUCGAUGAUACGCGAGGAACCUUACCCGGGCUUGAAAGUUAGUGACCGUUUUAGAGAUAGAAUUUCGCAGCAAUGCGCACGAAACUAGGUGCUGCAUGGUUGUCGUCAGCUCGUGCCGUGAGGUGUCGGCUUAAGUGCCACAACGAGCGCAACCCUUACCGUCGGUUGCCAGCGGGUAAUGCCGGGGACUUCGAUGGGACUGCCACCGUAAGGUGUGAGGAAGGUGGGGAUGACGUCAAAUCAGCACGGCCCUUACGUCCGGGGCGACACACGUGUUACAAUGGUCGGUACAGAGGGCUGCUACUAGGCGACUAGAUGCUA